Molecule: long non-coding RNA, 2350 nt
Organism: Parus major (Great Tit)
Lineage: Eukaryota; Metazoa; Chordata; Aves; Passeriformes; Paridae
Source: Ensembl
GAUCCCCCUCCUCUCCCAGCUGUGCAAGAACGAACCGAGGAACAGCACAGCCGCCUCCCACCCACGGGCGCUGAGGGAGCGGGGAUCCCCCUGCUGACAAAGCGCCAUUCUCAGCACCUGCAUCCCGGCCUUACAGUCAUCCUGAAAGUUUGGGGCGGCUGCUGGAGCGUCCCUUUCCAGUGCAUCACUGCGCUGGCAUCGCUCCACCGCCUUCCCCAGGCCGGAACAGGCUGCUUUGGGGCAGAAGGGUGCAAUAGAACUCAAUUUUUUUGCCAGCCUGGGAAAGUCCCUAAGACGCUAGCGGGCUUUCCCUACGGCGGUGCCCACACAGAGACACGAGGCUGUGUCUGUCCCUCCCUCCCGAGGCGCUGGGAGCCAGGAUAGCAGCGAGCCAGGUGGGAAACGCUGGGUUUUGUUAUCAGCUCCAAAAUGUGGUCACCACAGAGGGCAUGGUUAGAAUGGGUUGGAGUGCUGCUGGUUCUCCUUCGGGUGCUGCUGCUUUUCCAGGGGAAACAGCUGUCUGCAGAUGUGUACGAGAGAGGAGGCACAGCCUGAGCAGGGCGAGCUGCCUGGGCAGGAGGGCUGCCCCUUUGGAUGGGGAUUGGGAUGGAAAACUCCUCCAGCAUCGUUGCCAUCGCCCCGGGCCACCCUGAACGAGUCCCCCGAGCAGCCGCUGGCAGCUGGAACCCGCAAUUAGCAGCAGAACAACAGCCCCAGCUGCCUCCCGGGGCUCCCCAGCAGUUCAAUUAGCCCUCACUUGCAUAAAGCAGGGAGGAUAAUGCCGCUCUCACCCUGCCUUCAGCCUUAUUUCCAUUUCUUACCAGCAGAGCACCACUGCAGGAUCACGGCAAAAGGAGGGAUGCCGGAGCUCCAUCCGCUGGUUCUGGGGUGAUUUUCCACCGCGGCUGCUGGGAAACACAGCCCCGUGGGGGCUUUUUGUGCCCAGGCAGCGUGUGAGUGAAGAUGCAGCUUUUCUCAGCAGCAGGAGUGGCUGCUCUGAGUCCUUAUGCUGAAGGACCAAGAAAAGUCACCCCUCAAGGAAAAAGAAGAAAAAGAAGAAAAAGAAGAAAAAGAAGAAAAAGAAGAAAAAGAAGAAAAAGAAGAAAAAGAAGAAAAAGAAGAAAAAGAAGAAAAAGAAGAAAAAGAAGAAAAAGAAGAAAAAGAAGAAAAAGAAGAAAAAGAAGAAAAAGAAGAAAAAGAAGGGGUUGUUUUUCCUGCCUUGCUAUUGAGCCGAAGAGGCACAGAAAGUUGUCAAGGAGAUGCUUUCUCUGGCAGCAGGAUGCACCUGGUGAACUUCUCUCUGCUCUGUGGGACAAUCCCAUUGGGAAAAGAAUUCCUGUCAAUAUCUGAGGAUGCUCUCAUGGGCUAAGCAAGAUAUUGCAGCUUGGGUGUUGAACUUGGACUCCUUGGGGGGUUUUAUUUUAUUUUGUUUGAGCAAUGCUGGUUUUCAGCUAGAUUUCUCCCUUCCAGCUGCAGUAGGAUCUGACUGUGGAUGUUGCUACAAUCAGUUUUGCUUCUUUGGUAAGCAGGAGCAUCCUUCAAGGUGAGGUGGGAGGUCAGAAGUGUCAGGACCAACAGCUCUUGUUUGUGGAUGUAACAGUGGGUCUAACUUCUCUCCCUGAGGUUAAAUAAUAGUGCCUGAGGACACCCAGGUCAGGAUAAAGAAGAAAUAGGUGCCUUGAAAGCCCAGGGAAAAAUCACCACUAGUCUUUUUACAAAUCUUGCAGGAGCACAAUCUGUGCUAUUAGUCUAUAAGAAUCCCACAAAAUAACUCUAUAUCAGUUAUAUUAAUAGUACUACAGUCCACCAUCAACAUGGGUGAAACACACACUGUGACAAACCAGAGUGUGAUGGAAUCAGUCACUUAAAACAUCCCUGAGCACAGUCCAGAGGAUUAGCACCUGGAGCAAGGAAGAGCAACUGGUGAUCAAGGAAAGCCAGCUCCCUGUUUAAGGAAAACGUCAGCUCCUGAGAAAUCCCUUACCUUUAAUUGUAUCUGAGAGUGUAAUUGCAUCUUCAGCCCAAACAGACCUAAAAUCAAUCUGGCUAAGGAGUGACACAAGGAAAAGGGAUUUUAAUGAGUGACACAAAGAAGGGGACUAAAAUGAUGCUUAUCUCUGGUCACUGAAUACGGGGAUCUCGUUCUACAUAAUGUACAUAUAAAUAAUAGAGCAGCCCCUGCAAGCAGAGCCCUCACCAGCUCACUCAGAUGCAUGGAGCUGUUGAGAAGAGCACCCUGCAUCUGUCCCUGGAAUUUCACUGGGCACAUUGCUAAGCUCUAAAGAAUAAUGCAGCUUUUGAAACAUAUUUAAAAAAAUCUACCAGCAAUUGUUACCAUUUUUCCUAAAAA